Molecule: transfer RNA, 61 nt
Filed under: Haptolina ericina
Lineage: Eukaryota; Haptophyta; Prymnesiales; Prymnesiaceae
Source: RNAcentral
GUACCUCAGUUGGUAAGGUGCCGGACUCUUUCCCAGAGGGUCCGGGGUUCGACUCCCGCUA